GAUGAACGCUGGCGGCGUGCCUAAUACAUGCAAGUCGAGCGAACAGACGAGGAGCUUGCUCCUCUGACGUUAGCGGCGGACGGGUGAGUAACACGUGGAUAACCUACCUAUAAGACUGGGAUAACUUCGGGAAACCGGAGCUAAUACCGGAUAAUAUAUUGAACCGCAUGGUUCAAUAGUGAAAGACGGUUUUGCUGUCACUUAUAGAUGGAUCCGCGCCGCAUUAGCUAGUUGGUAAGGUAACGGCUUACCAAGGCAACGAUGCGUAGCCGACCUGACAGGGUGAUCGGCCACACUGGAACUGAGACACGGUCCAGACUCCUACGGGAGGCAGCAGUAGGGAAUCUUCCGCAAUGGGCGAAAGCCUGACGGAGCAACGCCGCGUGAGUGAUGAAGGUCUUCGGAUCGUAAAACUCUGUUAUUAGGGAAGAACAAAUGUGUAAGUAACUAGGCACGUCUUGACGGUGCCUAAUCAGAAAGCCACGGCUAACUACGUG
Molecule: ribosomal RNA, 497 nt
Filed under: uncultured bacterium
Lineage: Bacteria
Description: partial 16S ribosomal RNA
Rfam family: Bacterial small subunit ribosomal RNA
Source: RNAcentral